This 467-nucleotide ribosomal RNA is filed under the name uncultured bacterium. Its description in RNAcentral is "partial 16S ribosomal RNA". It matches the Rfam family "Bacterial small subunit ribosomal RNA", at positions 28 to 507 of the family's 1533-position model. The record is from RNAcentral.
GACGAACGCUGGCGGCGUGCUUAACACAUGCAAGUCGAACGGAAGGCCCUGCUUUUGUGGGGUGCUCGAGUGGCGAACGGGUGAGUAACACGUGAGUAACCUGCCCUUGACUUUGGGAUAACUUCAGGAAACUGGGGCUAAUACCGGAUAGGAGCUCCUGCUGCAUGGUGGGGGUUGGAAAGUUUCGGCGGUUGGGGAUGGACUCGCGGCUUAUCAGCUUGUUGGUGGGGUAGUGGCUUACCAAGGCUUUGACGGGUAGCCGGCCUGAGAGGGUGAUCGGCCACAUUGGGACUGAGAUACGGCCCAGACUCCUACGGGAGGCAGCAGUGGGGAAUAUUGCACAAUGGGCGGAAGCCUGAUGCAGCAACGCCGCGUGCGGGAUGACGGCCUUCGGGUUGUAAACCGCUUUCGCCUGUGACGAAGCGUGAGUGACGGUAAUGGGUAAAGAAGCACCGGCUAACUACGUG